RNAcentral lists this small nuclear RNA (339 nucleotides) under Dipodomys ordii (Ord's kangaroo rat). RNAcentral describes it as "7SK RNA". It matches the Rfam family "7SK RNA". Rfam says of the family: 7SK was discovered as an abundant small nuclear RNA in the mid-70s but a possible function has only recently been suggested. The record is from Rfam by way of RNAcentral. Lineage: Eukaryota; Metazoa; Chordata; Mammalia; Rodentia; Heteromyidae.
AGACCUGGGUGGCUUGGGGCUGUCACCCCCUUGACUACCAGGGUUGACUUAGUUUACCUUGGUGGACAGAUGGGUAUCCCUUCCUCUCUCACCAGUCAGCAAAUGUCCCUCUCUUCCUGAAUGCUCCACGGAAGAGGAUCCCCCACUUCCGACAGAGGAGAACCAUUCUCUGAUCAAGGUUAUACAAGUGGCUGUAAAUGAACGGUGUGGUGGUGAAAGGAAAAUGUGUUCCAGGGACUGACCUUCCCCGAGGUCGGCCCAUUUCUGGUUGGUCCACCACAGCAAAGCCGGCCCCAGCUCCAUUCUGGAGAAAAGCCACGUGGGGAUUUUGCUUUUUGG